Molecule: transfer RNA, 85 nt
Organism: Felis catus (domestic cat)
Lineage: Eukaryota; Metazoa; Chordata; Mammalia; Carnivora; Felidae
Rfam family: tRNA
About the family: Transfer RNA (tRNA) molecules are approximately 80 nucleotides in length. Their secondary structure includes four short double-helical elements and three loops (D, anti-codon, and T loops). Further hydrogen bonds mediate the characteristic L-shaped molecular structure. tRNAs have two regions of fundamental functional importance: the anti-codon, which is responsible for specific mRNA codon recognition, and the 3' end, to which the tRNAs corresponding amino acid is attached (by aminoacyl-tRNA synthetases). tRNAs cope with the degeneracy of the genetic code in two manners: having more than one tRNA (with a specific anti-codon) for a particular amino acid; and 'wobble' base-pairing, i.e. permitting non-standard base-pairing at the 3rd anti-codon position.
Source: Rfam
GCCUGGGUGGCUCAGUCAGUUGAGCGUCUGACUUACACUCAGGUCAUGAUCUCAUGACCUGUGAGUUCGAGCCCCACGUCAGGCU